AUUUAUUUUUUUUAUAUAUUUUGAAUAUAAAAAAAAAAACUUCUUAAAAUAACAAUUUAUAACCAAUAAAAGUAAGUGAAAGGCAAUAACAGGUCUGUGAUGCCCUUUAGAUGUUCUGGGCUGCACGCGCGUUACACUGAAAAUAGCAUCAAGUGUUUUAUUUGAAUGAAAAAUAAAACCAACUUUGAAAAAAGAAGGAAAACUUGGAAUUGUUUUCGUGAUGGGGAUUGAUAAUUGUAAUUAUUUAUCAUGAACGAGGAAUACCUAGUAAACGCAAGUCAUUAACUUGCAUUGAUUACGUCCCUGCCCUUUGUACACACCGCCCGUCGCUCCUACCGAUGAAAAAUCCGGUGAAAUAUAGGGAGGGCUUUUUUGUAAGAAAAAAGAAUAAACUUUAUUAAAUCUUAUUUUUUAGAGGAAGG
RNAcentral lists this ribosomal RNA (422 nucleotides) under uncultured eukaryote. RNAcentral describes it as "partial 18S ribosomal RNA". It matches the Rfam family "Eukaryotic small subunit ribosomal RNA", at positions 1368 to 1783 of the family's 1831-position model. The record is from RNAcentral.